RNAcentral lists this ribosomal RNA (207 nucleotides) under uncultured bacterium. RNAcentral's name for it is "partial 16S ribosomal RNA". It matches the Rfam family "Bacterial small subunit ribosomal RNA", at positions 568 to 774 of the family's 1533-position model. The record is from RNAcentral.
UGUGUAGGCGGUUCUUUAAGUUUGGUGUGAAAUCUCCCGGCUCAACCGGGAGGGUGCGCCGAAUACUGAGGGACUAGAGUGCGGGAGAGGAAAGUGGAAUUCCUGGUGUAGCGGUGAAAUGCGUAGAUAUCAGGAGGAACACCGGUGGUGUAGACGGCUUUCUGGACCGUAACUGACGCUGAAACACGAAAGCGUGGGUAGCAAACA